AGGAAACUUGGAAUGACUUUUCAUAGGUAAGAAUAGUUUUUGGCUCUUUUUUCAUUAUGAAAUCUUGUUGAGAGCUUCCAGUCUAUGAGAGCUAACUAGUUAGCCACUAGCAAAACACUAAGGCGAGCUAGCAGCUUGACAACCAAAUACCAGACGAUUAAUAGUAGCUGUAGUAUAGUUGUACAAGCAGUAGUAGUAAUACUAAAAGUACAAGCAGCAGUAGUAGUAUAAACAGCUGUUAGAGUCGUAGUAGUAUCAGCAUUUGUAAUGGUACUAGAAGUUGUAGUAGCAGUGCCAGUAUCAGCAGCAGUAGUGAGUGUACUAGUACUAGUUGCAUUGCUAUGACUACCACCAAUACUACCAAUAGUAGUUAUAAAGCCUAACUCAUGUAUAUCCAGAUUACCAUCUAUGUUCUUCCUCCAAACCCAUUUUAUGAUUGGGAUUACAGGCAGUUAUUUAGGACUAAAAUAAUUGAAAUGUUACUAAACAAGGUUAUACUUAUCAAAUUAAAUAGCUCUAGUCUCCAGUAUAUUGGCGAAUUCGGUUCUUUGUACUUAAUUUAUUAGCAUGAUUUCUUUUUAAUAUGUUGUGUACAGACUUAAUUACUUCUCUGUCUACUUUUCUUACUCCAUGUAGGUUUCCCAGAGACUAUGGGUUGAGGAGGAAUUGGAAGUUUGUCAGCUUAGACCUGGUGUCAUUCCAUCAGUGUUAAACUUCCUGGCUCAUCUUGGAAGAGUAUGUGCCAGAAAGACCACGACCAAGCAGCCUUGAGAUCUUAGGCAGCGUCUCCCUGAGGUCCCUCUCUGUCUCCCCACACAUCCACCAACCACUGGAACACAUCUCCAAAGUUCUGCCGGGCCAGCUCAGCUUCCCCUCAGAAGAAGUGCUGCCACCUGACAGAUGAAGGAGCCUUUUGAGAGGCAGCUGGCAUCGUGAUUGGACUGUACUUUGGUCUGUUCCAAUCCAGCUUCAGCUCCAGAGACGGCAGGCGGGACGAGUCAACGGAGGCCGGGUGGACGAAGGCAUGCAGCUGAGUACAAUCCAGAAAACAACAGAGGAGGAGUGCAGCGGCCCAGGACCAGAACAACCAGAACCAAAGAACUACAGACUCUUCACAACCUGCUCUAACUCUUGGUACAGGACCUCACCACACGGGUCAAGAAGGUUUCUGUCUCAUUUCUACUCUGAAGCUCACCUUCUCCUGCUCAAACUGCUGACAAAUGUUUCUGCUGCUCUAAAGUCUGCUCUCCAGAACUUCCUAAAAACUCUCAAAGUCUCUUCUGCUGCAGGUUGCUUUGUAGAACUGUUGCAGAAAACCUCACUAAACCACAUGGAGGGGCCUCAAGAUAGUCGUCCAAAUGAAACCGUACAAAAACCAAACUAGCACAACCCAAACGCUAAAGUCUCCUGCAGCCUACCAGAGAACCUCUGAGAACAGAGAAUCAGGACAGGAACUCUUACCUUCUGGACAACCAACGUUGGUUCACAAACAAGAAUACAGAAUGUGUCUGACCAGAAACCUCUGAAGACUCACUACAGCCAAGAUAAAGACACAACUCAGCUGCACCAAAUCCACUAAUCACUGCACACAUUAGCACCAUGUGCUAACUGUGGCUAAAGAACCACAUUUACCAAGACAACUAUCCAGUACAAAGCCCUAAAACACACCAAGAAACACAUUAAAGACGAUUUUACUGCUGGAAGCUGCAAGCCAACGCCUAAAGAACAAACUGAAGCAAUGGAGCCAAACCCGGUUCAGUGGUGAACAGAAGCAGAGGAAAUGUUUGUCUGCAGCUAAAUAAAGCAGGAAGACACUGAGCUGCUCAGGUGUUCCUGAUAACACCAAGCAGCCACCUGGACAGCCAAUAGGAACACAGCUUACUGGAAGUCCAGAGGGCUGGGUUAGUGAAGGAAAUUUAGUUUAAAGUUGAAGCAGAAAGUUAACAAAGAAAGUUGAAAACCACCUUCUGAUACCUGAAAUCUCUGAGUUUUCACACAAAGAACACCUGAACAUGUCAAACUGGUUCCAUAGUAGAACCAUCAUUGUAAAAAUGUCAUAGUAUGGUGUGUUGCUCAAAAAACAUUAGGACCCGGCUGUCAGGGACAAACAUGUAAGAAACAUGAGAACAGAGAGAACCCAACCAGUAGGUCACAGUUUAUCAUCCCCCAGUCAUCUCCUGAAGUCCAUAUGGUGAGAGACAUCAGUAUCUGGUUGUUAAUUUACCAGAGGAUGCUUAUAAUCAUGCUGAUGUGGUCUGUACUCUACAGUAUUUUAGUGACUCAAUAAAUGCCUAAGUUGUUUUUUAUUAAA
Molecule: long non-coding RNA, 2311 nt
Organism: Amphiprion ocellaris (clown anemonefish)
Lineage: Eukaryota; Metazoa; Chordata; Actinopteri; Pomacentridae
Exons: 3
Source: RefSeq, a predicted model, not a curated record